UGUGUGAAACACUGUCCGCCCCUGUAAAGUUCACUAUAAAAGUUAGGCUAUUCGGGCAAUAAAAUGGAGCAGCAUGAUCUGACUCUGCUGGUGUCUGUCGUGCUUUCGGCCGUGCUUCGCAACAAAAGGAGAUGCAACCCAUCUGGAUUUCAACUUGCAGUUUUACUUCCAGCAACAAAGACAACUUCACUUAGAAUAGAAGGGGCAGAUGCACCCUAACAAACGCAGCGCUUAAUGUAAUGCUCUCCUAUGUUCGUAUUUAUAGAAAAUAUUAACCAGAUGUCUCUUAACAUCUCUGCUCCUUUAGCAGCUGACGGACUGCAAUAAACUGAGCGUUUGCAGCUGCAUUCCUUGAGAAAGACAGAAGACAGAUUCUUUCAACCAUGGCAAACCAGGACUUGCUUGGGAAAAAACGAGAAUGCCUCCAGGCCUACAGCUGGUGGAGAACACCACAGAAAAAACGAAAGAAAAGAACAAAAUAAAACCAGGAAGAAUAGGGUUUGUUAGUUGUAGUAGUUCAGCCAGACCAGAUUAUUCAGUAUUUGUUGGGGAGCUUACCCCAGAAGUGGAUGAUUUCCAGCUCUAUGACUAUUUCCCAAAGAGGUAUCCCUCAUGUAUUGACUGCAAAACAGCAACAGACCUGCUGGGAUAUUCCAGGUAAUUCCAGUGCAAAUGUGUAACGUUAUCAGUGUGUUCGCUUUUAUAAGCGAUAUGUAAGAGCUUGCGUCGGAGCUGUUCCAGUGCUUUUUUUCUGGGGCACGAAGAGUGAGAUUAGUCUUUAGCACUGCUUUUCUUAAUAGCACAGAUCCUUGAGUGUUUUUAAGAGCUUUCCGGUUAGUUCAAGCAGUUACUGUGAUAAGCUUCAACUUACCCAUAUGCAUAUCUACAUGGGGGGAAAAAAAAACAACUAGAAGCUGUGGGAGAAGGAAGAGCUGUGCACUGAAAUCAGCGCUGCUGUGUGUCUACUUAGUCAUCUGCAAUACUGAAGACAAAAUAAUUCCUAUUUUGUUUGGGGAAAAACAUAAGCCCUGGCAAAUCUUAGGGGGUUGGGUGAUGGAACCUAAUGUUAGUAGUAAAUAAAGUCUAGCAGAAACUACUGGCCAUGCAGUGAGUCAAGCAGGAAUGAGCGAGUUUGCUGUUCAGACAAUGCUGCCUGUAAUAGACUAAUUCAAGAACCUUUAGUUUUGUAACUGUUAUGCAUACUAGAAUUUGUUUUCUCCCUUUUGAAAAUUGUAGAAGGCAUGCCUAUGUCAGAUUUGGUGAGCAAGGUGAUCAGAUGAGGGCACUGCAAGACUGCCAGAAUGCACCAGGUCUGGGGGGAAAAUGAAUCCGGCUGAGCAUAGGAAUUUCUAAAAGGUAACCAAUGAGUUGUGCAUUGAUACAGUUAUUCUAAAUAAUCAGAUUCUUGUAGCUCUGCCUUUGUAAAGUCUGUGGCCCUUGCUGUAAUGGCUGUACACAGGAUGCAGUCUACAAAACCAAAAAUGCAGAAGUGCUAUGUUUUGACUCCCUGGAUUCAUCAACCUGUUUCAGGAUGGCUGGGGGAAUCCACCUCUUAUGUCUAGCCAGACAGUGUCACUUGGGCUUAGCUGCCAUUGUAACCAGCCUUCUUUCUCAACAGUAGCAAAGCUGAAUGCAUUCGUAAAUAUUUUCAGGUUUGGGCCUAUAUGAACUAGAAGGGACAACAAGUGGUUUUAUACGCUAGGGAGUUCUUGUUCUUAGACCUUUCCCUCUAGUUUGAGAAGAGCACAGAACUAGUUUCCCAGUGGGCUGACAGGAAAGAAGUGAGGGAACAUCUGGGAAUGCAGGGAGAAAGCCAAAGGAGUUUAUUACUAGAACAGGUGUAGAAUACUAUUCUUUGCUUUUCAUGAGCUUAGGGCAACGGGGAGUUUAAAGUUUAGCACUUCUUGAGAGGGUUUCUUACUCUACUGGCUCAGUUCUAUCAUUUAUUUAGAGCAAUUUAGGUCUCUGAAUAGUUAAAGAACCGAUACCAAAUUUGAUGAACUCUGAUUCAGGAUACUGACAAAAGAGGACUUCAUAUAAACAAUUCCAAUAUGUUCAUGAGGUUAGCUUGUGUGUUCUGUUAAACAGUAAAAAAAUGACACUUCUGUUUCUGUUUACCUAGCAUAAUUCUGCAAAUGUUGCCUCCUGCUUUAGAACAGAAAUGCUCUUCUCCAAGAGAGCACUGUCCAAAAUUUCUUUGCCAAAUUUCUUUAUUAAAUUAAUAUUUUUAUUUUGAAAACAAGAAUAAGCCCCAAACAUGUUUUCUCGCUUUGGCUAUCCAGAUGAAUGUCAACAGUAUUUUCAGAUUUUCCUUCCCUACAGAACUGUAUGUAGGAAGAGUGCAGUUGGAAACAGAAGAUGUAAGAUGAUGUAUCUUCUGUUUGUUUACUACAGUAACAAGACAAUAGAUUACCUCUUUAUUAGAACUUGUGUAGCUUUACAGUAUUGAAACAAGCAUAGGUAUUAAAAGACACAUCAGUAACAAGUUUCUGAAUGGCUGAGUACCAUGCUCUCUUAGCAUUGAAAUAUCCAGCCACUGGAUUAGUUUCAGUUGUGUUUGCUUGUUUUGGAAGCUGUUUCAGAAUGCCUUCAGCCUGUAUUCUUGACAAAAAGCAUAGAACUCACUUCUCUGCAUCCCCAAUUCAAGUCAGAUAAAUUGGGCACUGCAAACACAGAAGGCCUGCCUGUACAGAAUCAGUGAAGAAAAGUCUAAACAGUGGAUUUUUUUUUUAAUAUGCAACUGGGUUAUCUGAACGUAUUUUAUGCAGUGUACAUCAGUUUUAGUAUAGAUAGCACUUGUCUUGGUUCUUGUCCGUAGUCUGAAGCUGCCCCGGAGAAAAUCUUGAAAGGGAAAGUAGUGAAAACUAAUUAGCUGGCCCUUUCUUCUUCAGAACCGCUGUAUUUUGUAAUUCUCCCACUGGUAAGGCUUCCUACUGGACAAUUGUGAUUAUGUAGUUAAGCAAGACUGACUUCACCUGAGUGGUAUACUUGGCAGCUGUUGAAUGUUUCAUGGCCUGUAAACAAACCAAAAAAUCAACUGAGCAGGUGGAGGUAGGCAUGGCAAACUGUCAGGCAGUGUCAGAUGCUUCUUUGAAAUGGAUAAUCUGACUCCAUUCACUUCUUUCUGGAAAUAAGAUCUAGUAAUUAACCAAACAAAAGACAGAAGGGUUAAGACUGCAUCUUUAAAGCAGCUGUGCUGGAUAAAUGUCUCUGGUCUUAAUGAAUCAAUCUUUAGCAAAGCACAGAGACUUAGCAGCAGCUUUCUUAUGCCAACACUAAAAAUACUUGCUAUAUACAGGUAACAAUGUCAAGGCUCUGGAGUUAACAAUUACUUCUGGUAUUGGCAAAGGUGAGGAUGUUUGCUUCUGUAUAGAUGGGGUUUUGUGCUGUGACUUGUAGUCACCUAAGUGAUGAACUCUGAUUCAGGAUGCUGACAAAAGAGGACUUCAUAUAAACAAUUCCAAUGUGUUCAUGAGGUUAGCUUGUGUGUUCUGUUAAACAGUAAAAAAAUAACACUUCUAUUUCUGUUUACCUAGCAUAAUUCUGCAAAUGUUGCCUCCUGCUUUAGAACAGAAAUGCUCUUCUCCAAGAGAGCACUGUCCAAAAUGACAGUAAUAGCCAAAUGCUGAAUAUUAAUUAAAUAAUAAAAACUCGAGACAAUUGAACAACUGUCUAAUUUUCUACAAUAUUUGUUCAAAAUGCAUCGCACACAGGACAACUCCUGAUUCAAAGGUGGCAAUUUUAACAGAAAAGACAAGCUACUAAUACAGACACUAAAGGAAACGCAUCUUGAACAGCAGCUCAAGUUGCUCGUAAAUGUACAUUGAACGUAGUUGUUUUGUGUUUUUUUUUGUUUGUUUGCUUUUUUUUUUUUUUGCUGUUUUGUUUUUAAAUCAGAAGUGAAGUUUUUGAACAAUGUGGAUUUAGAUUCUGCUUCUUUUAAAUUGAUACAGUGAAUGUCACAGAUUUGCAGCUUUUGCAAUAUCUUUAGAACCGAAACUCUUUACUAUUCUUUCUGCACCUGGGCUGAAGGUGGGACAGGAGCGUCGAGUUUUACAAACAUUUCCUUUUCAAUUCCACAAAUUGUAUUUACUUAAAAUGAAACAUUGAUCAUCUAGCUAGUUCUCUUAGUACCUCAGUUACAGUUACAUCCUAACACAUAAAGGAGAUGCAACCCAUCUGGAUUUCAACUUGCAGUUUUACUUCUAGCAACAAAGACAACUUCACUUAGAAUAGAAGGGGCAGAUGCACCCUAACAAACGCAGUGCUUAAUGUAAUGCUCUCCUAUGUUCAUAUUUAUAGAAAAUACUCUCUUAACCAUAAGUUUGUUGUUUGUUUGUUUGUUUGAAAUCAAAAAUGCUAGCGUAUUUUUUAAAAGGAGUUCAUUAUCUCACCAGGGUUUCUUAGAACGUCUAAGACGCUUCCUUCCUUUAAUCCUCAUCCAUAUUUAAAGGGAACUCUGAAGGGAACAGCAACAAAACCUUCCUUCUCCUCUUGCUCAUUGUUGGUGGAUGCGGAUGAGCUAGUUUCUUUUGAAACAAAAGAAAACAAACAGCUGUCACAAUGCGACCUACCUAGAGCACAUUAUACUCACUUGCGUUAGAAACAAGAAUUUCCAACUUUCAUGCUUCUCACCUAAGAACCUUCACCAAUUCUACUUACUUUAUAAUGGUUUAUAAUUACAAGCAAUAAAAACAGAUCUGUCACUGGAAAAAUACUGCGGAAGUCCAACACUGCCCGGAAUUGCUAGCAUGCACAGACAGGACAGGUUUAAGAUUUAAUAAAGAAGAAAAGAAAAAUCAGCACUUCAGAUGUGAAGUGCUAAGAUUUCAGUUACCUAGGGUAAGAAAGGACGUCACGGGCGUAUCACUGGAUCCAGAAAGCUCUGAUGAUUUUACAACGGGAACACUAAAUGUAAACCCAAUCUGCUAUGAACAAGAGAGGUUUUUCAGAGCCACAGGAACGUCAAUCAAAUGCAUACACAAAACCAAAUCUGAAAGCUGGUCUUCACAUUUGUAGCAUGCAUGCUGAAUGACAAAUUACAAGCCAGAAGCCUACAUAGUUCUCUCCAUCAAGGCAGAUUCAGCUUUAGUGUUCUGCAACAGCCUACUAAAUGCCUAAGAAAACAAGUCUAGCUUCUUUAUUAGUUUACUUACAGGAAAUGUAGAUAGCACUUCUGCCUCUGUAGACUUCACAAUUGGAGAUGAAAAUGCAAACGCAGGACUGCUAACACUACUUGUUGGCUGUAUCCGUAUUUUCAAAAGAAUUCAAGGUUUACAUUUAAGAGCAACAACUACCUGAAUUCACUACCCAACACAAGUCCUGCAGUGACGUUGAAAAGCUUGAUGUUUCAGUUAUUUUGCAGACAGAAGUAGUAAUAAAACAAAGUCAAGUUUCCUAGUGGGUAUAGGACAAUAUCUUCACAAGCAAAUUCCAGAAACCCAGAGGAAAAGCUGGAGAUGCUACUUAGGUCUAAAUGCAUGGAAAAGCAAACCAGGAAGCUGAAGAACAGUAAACUCAGCCCAAUGAUACUCCAAGAACUUCAGCAAACACCUCAACAUAUUACAUCAGCUACCUACUUCAAACCAUACAAAAAUAUUUCAAUUGCUCUGGAACAGAUUGAUGUUUAUUUUAUUGCAAUAAUAUGCCAAUUAUUGCACCCUAGGCUCAUUCUAUGCGAGGCUUAUACGACCACAUUACCUCUAAUUUAAUAACUUCAAUAAAGUUGUGGUUUAACCAUUGUAGGCAACUAAGCACCACACAGCCACUCGCUCACUCCCUUCAAGUGGAACAGGGAAAAGAACUGGAAACAAAGAAGUUAAGUUGUUAAAUUUGAGGUACCAUUAAUGACUCAUCACAGUAAUGGCUACCUGGAAAGACGAAUGCCAUAACCCUGUACAUACCCCCAGCUCCUUCCCCUUCUUUCCCCCACCAUUUAUUGCUGGGAAUGAUGCUAAAUGGUGUGGAGUAUCCCCUUGGUCCUCUGGGGUCGGUUGUCCUGGCUGGGUCCCCUCCCAGCCUCUUGUGCAUACCCAACCUCCUCGCUGGCAGGGCGGUGUGAGAAACAGAAAAGGACUCGUCACUGUGCAAGCACUGCUCAGCAACAGCUAAAACACCAGUGCCUUACCAACACUGUUUUGGUCACAAAUCUGCAACGCAGCACCAUCUACUAUGAAGAAAAUUAACUCUACCCCCGCCCAAAUCAGUAUAAAUAGCUUGCCAUAAAAUGCACACCCCAUUCCCCCCCUGAAUCCCGCAGCAUUUGAAGCAGUUACACAAUCGCAUUAAACAGAAGUUUGCAAGGUCUAAGACUGAGAGAAGCAGAAUCAAAACAUUUGUGCGUUUUUCCCCAAACUGGCAUGCGACCCCAAUUUAUUCAGCCAAGCACAAACUAACAUUCAUUAGCUUCACGAGCACCACACAACUCGCAACAAAGCGGCAUACUCACCCGAAGAAGUACUGACAGCAAAAAGACUUACCUGGCCCGCCGCCGUGAUUGCCAUGUCUCCCGCCGCCAUUGAAUUUGUCAUGCUCGUCGUAGUCGUCGCCGCUGAAUUUGUCUUGCUCUUUGCCAGUGUUAGAUAAGGUAUGGCUGUCGCCACUGCUGGGUACGUCACGCCCGCCGACACCGUUGGAUAUGUCACGCUCCCCCCUGCCAUCGAGUAUGUCAUUUGUUCUACCUCCUCCUCCUCCUCUAGAUAUGUCAUGUUCGCCUCCGCUGCUGAUGGAUUGCCCGCCCCCGGCGCUGCAGCUGGAUUUCCCACCCCCGGCGCUACUGCCGGGUUUCCCUCGCCUGCUGCUGCAUUUCCUGCAACCGCAUCUGCUUUGCGACUUCCCAUAUCUCCUGCUGCUUCUCCAUGGCCCGUGCCCGUCGCUUCCACUCUUCUUGAAAUUCCUGUUUUCGCCGCUCGAUUAUCCAGGCCAGCUCCUUCUGCAGGGCUUCCCAUGCCUUUUGCUUCUGCUGGAUUCGCUCUUCCCGUCGCUGCUGCCGGCGUUGCCAUGCCCAGCGCUGCAGCAGGCGUUGCAAUGCCCGUUGCUGCCUCUGGAGUGGCAACGCCCUUUGCUGCUGCUGGAAUUGCCAUGCCUGUCGCAGCUGCUGGAGUUGCCAUGCUCGUUGCAGCUGUUGAAACAGCGCUUGGUGACACCCAGACAGCACUACUACCAACAAAACUAAAAUUGAACUGAGGCAGCGACGCAGUACCGAUGGGUAGGGGGAUUUUCGGUAGCACUGGUUCCUCCACUUCCUAAAGUUGUAAAAGAAAAAUUUAAAUUUACCAGACGUACUUUUACAAGACUACUUUCUCACAUUGUCCCACCCAAUUUAUUAACAAAAUGAAAUCAAACAAAAACCCAUGCAAAUUCAGAGAAAGCAAGUUUCCAGAAGAAAGCCUGAUCUCCCUACCUCUGUCUACUAGGUCAUUUUAAUUUAUGGCAGGCCUGCUUCCACAUAAUACUCUGUUCAACAACUGUACAGCAAGAACACUGAAAGUUAACUCAAAACCUGUGCAGAACAAAGAGGCACAGAUCAGAUUUUUCUUUUCCUUUCCUAUACUUUGGUCAUCAGAGCUCUAGAGAAGCAUCAUCCUUUCUAACUACCCUCACACCUCUUCAAUUAAGAGUACACUCUCAAGACAAAUGAGAAAGCGUUCCUCUUGCAAAAUUAGGCAGGAGGGUUGCCAAAGUUUCUAAAGUCACUACAGCAGUGAACGUGGAAAAAGGUAAUGUUUCAAGAAGCAGGUAGCUUCAACAACCAACCUAAACGCAAAAAGCACCAAAGAAAGUCAGACUAGCAGCACUGAAGACUCUAUUCUGGUAAAUACAGCCCAUACCACGUAUCGGGACACAAAUGCAAAAAUCAGAAAACGCUGUUUUCAAAACUUCCAUUUUUAUCCCUUCCACUUACUUUAUUUGAUUACUAAGAUUGGAUGAGUUAUGUUUUAAAUGACGUAGACAAUCUGAUCAAAAUUUCAACACUACUAUCACGAUCUACUUAGAAAUGACUAGGCAGGGACGUAAGGAGGUACUACUGAUAUUCAGUGCAUAAGGCAGCCUACGUCUGUUUCACUGUUUUGAUUUGAAAAAUUUAUGAACUUAGGAUAUUUGGAUCAUGUUUGGACCAUUUAAUGUCCCAUUUAAUGUUUUUAAACUUAAAUUAAAUACUUAAUAUUAAAUAUUAAAUGCUUUAAUUAAUAAAUAACAUUUAAAUUAAAACUA
Anas platyrhynchos (mallard) is the source of this 8214-nucleotide non-coding RNA. The record is from RefSeq and is a predicted model, not a curated record. Lineage: Eukaryota; Metazoa; Chordata; Aves; Anseriformes; Anatidae.